RNAcentral lists this ribosomal RNA (454 nucleotides) under uncultured bacterium. Its description in RNAcentral is "bacterial SSU rRNA". It matches the Rfam family "Bacterial small subunit ribosomal RNA", at positions 340 to 786 of the family's 1533-position model. The record is from RNAcentral.
UACGGGAAGCAGCAGUGGGGAAUAUUGCACAAUGGGCGCAAGCCUGAUGCAGCCAUGCCGCGUGUAUGAAGAAGGCCUUCGGGUUGUAAAGUACUUUCAGUCGUGAGGAAGGUGUUAAGGUUAAUAACCUUAGCAAUUGACGUUAGCGACAGAAGAAGCACCGGCUAACUCCGUGCCAGCAGCCGCGGUAAUACGGAGGGUGCGAGCGUUAAUCGGAAUUACUGGGCGUAAAGGGCACGCAGGCGGUUAAUUAAGUUGGAUGUGAAAUCCCCGGGCUUAACCUGGGAAUGGCAUUCAAGACUGGUUAGCUAGAGUCUUGUAGAGGGGGUAGAAUUCCAUGUGUAGCGGUGAAAUGCGUAGAGAUGUGGAGGAAUACCGGUGGCGAAGGCGGCCCCUGGACAAAGACUGACGCUCAUGUGCGAAAGCGUGGGGAGCAAACGAGGGAUUAGAUACC